GGCUAGUCCCUGGGGCUUCCCUGAGCCAGUACAGAGGUUCGCAUGUGCGGACAUGCCAAGGAGACCAGAUCUGGGUCAGAAGCAAUAACAGCAAGUUUAACCUCCUAAUUUCAGUUCAUGGAAGCGACCAGAGAAUUCUCAAGACCUAGUUCUAUCCAAUUCCUUUUCCCCAAAUCACAUGAAUGUGAUGUUCCAGGAAAUGCACGGAGCACAUCUUUGCUACAGAAUUGCAGCAUUUCUGAGUUCUAAUUUCGGGAAUCAAUUCUGCAAGGACACAGAAGAGUACACCCACUGCACGCCUGUUGUUGAAGUAUUAUGGUGGAAAGCAAAGACGGUAAGCCAAAAUAACUUAUGCAUCAUCAGCCUGGUCAUGGUUUUCUCCAUAAGGCCAUAGUAUGCAUUACCCUUUGCAGCUGCUACAAAGCCAAAGACCUAAGGACCAAAGAGACAAAGCGACUUUCCCAAGAUCUUACAGCGGCUACAGUGUGAAGCUGAGUAAACUAGAGGCGCGUCUCUUGACUUGGGGUAGCAUUCUGUCUACAACACUGUCAGCCCAGCGGCAGAAAUACCCACGCAAAAGGAUAUCGGUUAA
Molecule: long non-coding RNA, 592 nt
Organism: Ochotona princeps (American pika)
Lineage: Eukaryota; Metazoa; Chordata; Mammalia; Lagomorpha; Ochotonidae
Exons: 4
Source: RefSeq, a predicted model, not a curated record